Molecule: ribosomal RNA, 104 nt
Filed under: Olea europaea subsp. europaea
Lineage: Eukaryota; Viridiplantae; Streptophyta; Magnoliopsida; Lamiales; Oleaceae
Description: Bacterial large subunit ribosomal RNA
Rfam family: Bacterial large subunit ribosomal RNA
Source: Rfam by way of RNAcentral
CUCCUUGGUUUCUAGCCUGCCUGACUGUGAGACCGACUGGUCGAAUAGAGACGAAAGUCGGCCCUAGUGAUCCGGGAGUCCCGUGUGGAAGGGCUCUCGCUCAA